UGGGGAAUAUUGCACAAUGGGCGAAAGCCUGAUGCAGCAACGCCGCGUGAGGGACGACGGCCUUCGGGUUGUAAACCUCUUUAGCAAGGAAGAAGCGAAAGUGACGGUACUUGCAGAAAAAGCGCCGGCUAACUACGUGCCAGCAGCCGCGGUAAUACGUAGGGCGCAAGCGUUAUCCGGAAUUAUUGGGCGUAAAGAGCUCGUAGGCGGUUUGUCGCGUCUGCUGUGAAAACCCGAGGCUCAACCUCGGGCCUGCAGUGGGUACGGGCAGACUAGAGUGCGGUAGGGGAGAUUGGAACUCCUGGUGUAGCGGUGGAAUGCGCAGAUAUCAGGAAGAACACCGAUGGCGAAGGCAGAUCUCUGGGCCGUAACUGACGCUGAGGAGCGAAAGGGUGGGGAGCAAAACAGGCUUAGAUACCCUGGUAGUCCACCCGUAAACGUUGGGAACUAGUUGUGGGUCCAUUUCACGGAUUCCGUGACGCAGCUAACGCAUUAAGUUCCCCGCCUGGGGAGUACGGCCGCAAGGCUAAAACUGCAAAGGAAUUGACGGGGUCAUAGCUG
This 561-nucleotide ribosomal RNA is filed under the name uncultured bacterium. RNAcentral's name for it is "partial 16S ribosomal RNA". It matches the Rfam family "Bacterial small subunit ribosomal RNA", at positions 355 to 932 of the family's 1533-position model. The record is from RNAcentral.